AUGUCAAUUUGCACCAAAUGUGCUCUUUUAGUAUGGCUACAUGAUGAGGAAGGAAAAUGGAAAGUAGAACAUGCCCUUUUGUUGAUUAAGUUUGGUUUCUCUCGCUUGGUUCUCGAGUUAUUGUCAAUAUUUGGACUGUUUGGCACCAAUCAACAUGAAUGCGGCCAAAUGGUGCAGUUCUGCUAUCGCAUUAUACAGCUUGCAAAUAUGAUAAGGUUUCUGGUUGAUAGUUAUAAUAAGCAUGUCCCUGCAAUACUUGAAAUUCCUUGCAGCAUAACGUGA
This is a non-coding RNA of Vicia faba (fava bean), 282 nucleotides long. The record is from the annotation of a GenBank genome assembly. NCBI's taxonomy places the organism in Eukaryota, Viridiplantae, Streptophyta, Magnoliopsida, Fabales, Fabaceae.